CGCGUAGGCGGAUGUUACAGUCAGGCGUGAAAUUCCUGGGCUCAACCUGGGGGCUGCGUUUGAUACGUGAUGUCUGGAGUUCGGAAGAGGGUCGUGGAAUUCCCAGUGUAGAGGUGAAAUUCGUAGAUAUUGGGAAGAACACCGGUGGCGAAGGCGGCGACCUGGUCCGAUACUGACGCUGAGGCGCGAAAGUGUGGGGAGCAAACAGGAUUAGAUACCCUGGUAGUCCACGCUGUAAACGAUGUGCGCUGGAUGUUGGGUGACAUAGUCAUUCAGUGUCGUAGCUAACGCGAUAAGCGCACCGCCUGGGGAGUACGGCCGCAAGGUUGAAA
This 332-nucleotide ribosomal RNA is filed under the name uncultured bacterium. RNAcentral's name for it is "bacterial SSU rRNA". It matches the Rfam family "Bacterial small subunit ribosomal RNA", at positions 568 to 899 of the family's 1533-position model. The record is from RNAcentral.